GCGGGGAGGGGCGCCGGGCUUUGGUCUGUGACAAGCACCCGCCUCUUUCCCCUCCCUCUGGGUCCUCUCGCACAGGGGGACGACCCCACCCCCUGAGUCCCCUGGCCAGGCCUGGCUUCAGCCGGGGCUCUUAGUGUUACUGCUGCGAGGACCUGCCCUCUCCCGGCAGCCCCACCUGCCUGGCUCGGGACCAUCUCUUCCCUUCGCUGGAGCGGACCGGGCCUUCUGGACCCUGCCCAGGGCCUUCCCUUUGCUGGGUCUGACCGAAUCCGGCCUUCCUGACUGGUCACUUUCCCCGAAUAACUCACUCUUUUUCCUGCUUUGUUGGCGCCCGUGGGCUGUACAUAUGUUAUACAGAUGUGGUGGAUGGCUUUUGAUAUUACUACCCAGUGUGCUCAGCAUGUGCCAAACUCGGUUAUCACUUCUAGGUAAAGCCUAAAUAGAGUAACCAUUGGGGCUUUUAGUAAACCUUCAGUAACACACGUUCUUCUACGCUUUAAAUCACACACAUUCUGCCAGGACUAUGCUUAGUUUUGGGGUCCUAUUGAGUGGGUCCUCAAGUGAAUUUUUCACUCCCUUCUUUCCUCUAGGAACUGAUCACCAGCUCUCAACCCUGCUGGGCUCCAUAAAAUGACUGCCUUGUUCCUAAAUUCAAUCCAUUCCUCUGUGUGGUUGGAACCAUCUGGAAACUUUCCUUGUGUCGGCAAAAUAUGCCUGGGUCUGGGGAUAUUUUCUGUUUCUCUACUGGCAAGGCUUUCUCCAACUCUUGGGGACAGUGUUCAGUGACACACAUCCUAUCCUGUGAACAGACAGCUUGUGAAGCUGGUUCCACCCAGUAAGCUCAGAUAAGUGCCUGGAGGUGUUCUUUUUGUCACCUCUAAACUGAGUUGAUCCUAUUGCCUUGAAGACUUGAACUUUCUCCUUAAGUCAGCUAGCCUAGUUGUUGGGCAGGUGGAUAGGUAAGCCAGAGUUAGGGGGCAUUGUGGAUUUCCACCCUCAACUCUAGUUUUUUUUCUUCUCUUAUUUUGGAUACUAUUGUCAUACACAGAUAGGAUAUGAAAUAUGAUGACAAGAACAUAUUUAUUGUCACUCAGCCUAAGAAAUAGAACAUUAUCUCUUAUGUGGAAGCCUACAGGGUGCCCCUUUCUUAGCCCACAUCCUGUCUUCCCCCAACAAAGGUAAACACUCUCUUGAAUUGUGUUUGUCAUUUUCCUUGUUGUCUUGUCUUUUUGAUUGUAGUUUUGCUACAUAUUUGCAUCUCUAAGACAAUAUCAUCUUAGUAUAUGUGCUGCUGAAUCAAGUGCUAAACAAUACAUUUUUUAAUUAUGAAUACUUUAAAGUUUGUUUUUUUGUGAGACUCAUCAAUGUUGUAUCAUGGCUCUGGUUUUUAAAUACUAUCCAUUCGUGAAAGUAUUAUAUUGUAUGAAAGAAUGCAUUGAAUUCUCUUCUUGGUGAACAUUUAGGUUGAUGCCUAUUUCUUAACAUAAGUAGUAACGCUUAAAUAUUUUUUCCAGGACUCCUAAUAUUCUUUGCAGCUUUAUGUUGUAUUUAUGUAAGGGCCGAAUUGCUGUUCACAGGGUGUAGAUCUGGAGCUUCACUAGAUAAUGCUGGACUUUUUACCCACUUACCCCUCCACUCUUAAUGCUCUUUGUGUUCAGCUUUCACUGCACAAAUAAACACUUUCUUUUUUCAUUGUCUUUUUUUUUUUUUCCAAGCAAAUUAGGAGGUAUGGUAGUCUAGUUUGUUUUGGCCAGUGCCCUAGCACAACACCAAACUCAAGUGAGAGCUUUGUGCAAUGCUGUUCCUCUUGGUCCUGCACAUGCCUCUUUUUCUCUUUUUAUAUUGGCUUAGCUGUUGCUGAAGUAGACUGAUCCACUGAUUCCAGACAUAAAAGCUCUGUGCCCCUUCCUGCAUGAGUUCAUUGUUAGUAAAACAUGCUGGCCCAUUCUUUCUUCACGAGUCUAUUGCUGAUUGGGACGUUUGGGUAGCUACCUUCUCUAGCUUGGAUUGAAAAGGCGUGAGCUGACUGGCAGGAAGACUACCACAGAGAGGAAUGAAGUAAAAUCACUGAUUGCUGUUGAUUUUUGAUCUGAUCCUGUAUCUCUUGAUUAUCGAAAAGUCUUGUGUAAUAAAUGAUUAGCCUAAGAAGCAGCCAGCAUCCUGAUAAAAUGGUAAUUAUUAUGCUAACUUGGUGUGAGAGGCAUAAGCCAGCUUGGUUUCCUGUUCAGGGUACAUGAAGUUGUGUUGUGUUUACUAGUCAGUUCUUGCUUGGCUGUCUUCCGACUUUGUUUUCCAGCCUUUACCCUUGUGCCUCCCAGCUCCUUGAGAAACACUUGUGCUUCUUGGAGCAGGCUGCUGUAUCUUCAGGAUGGAAAACAACACCCUGUGGGGAGAAAAUGACCUGCUAUUGGCUCUUCCAAGUAUUGAGUCAGCCAGUAAAUUUGAGGUCUCCUGGGUGUACUUGUUCAUGUUGUUUUGAAUAUAUUAACAACAUGUAGUUCUGGAUAGCAUGUAAGAUAUACUUUUCUUGUUUUGUGUAAUUCCAGUGAGACACAGGUGUAAAAGCUGUAGCACAUAAGUAAGCCUGAUGGUGAAUCUGAAGUUAGGUGCACAUGAGAACAGAAGAGUCUGUCUUUAUCUACUGCAGAGAAGUGGGGGUUGAGCAAGCAGUCAAGCAUUAGGAAGGUCAUGCUUCCUUUCUUGAUGCCUGUGGAAAUAUAAUUUGCUUUUGAUAAAAAUACCAUUUCCUUUAUUAGCUAUUUAAGAUUAACAUUUCAUUUAUAUCUCAGGUAUGUCUGCUUUUCUUUAACAUCUAAAUUCGCUCAGAAUCCAUAGUAUUUUUAAGCUGUUUUGUAGACUAGCAUACUCACCCUUGGCUUUAAAAAGACUUAAUUGUUCAGUUCAUUGCAUUGUCAUUUUUACUCCCUAACCUCUCUGUACUGGGGUUGGAAUCCAGGGUUUUCAUAUAGAGUUUUAUUCCUAGCUCUUUAAAAAAUUUUAUUUAUUUAUUUUUUAAUUUUGAGGAAAACAAAGUCUUCUAAGCAGCCCAGGCUGGAUUUAACUUGUGAUUCUCUUGCCUCAUCCUUCCAGAGUGCUGAGAUUACAGAUGUGAAUUACCAUGCCCAGUUUGUAACAACAUUUUUUUUAUUAGCAUUUUUUAAACAAGGAAGUUAUUACAUGUCUGUGGUUAAAAAUUCAAACAUUAUAGAGAGAUGAAAAGUAUAAAAGUCUCAUCCAUGUUGUCAUUCAUUCUAGGUGAUCACUGUGAAAUAUAGUUGCUUUUUAAUACUUCAUUACAUGAAGGCAGUUCUGCUAUUUCUGCUUUAUGAAAUUUAUAGCUUUAGACAGACCUGGUGUGGUAAGAACAGUGGUGUGCUGGUGUGGAGACCAGAUAGCAUGUUGUUUGAAGGGUUUCAGUGUCAUUCUUUUUUUUUGUCUUUUUCGUUUUUAUCAGUACCAGGGAUCGAACUCACGACUGCCUGCUUCCAAGGCAGGUGCUUAUGCCGCUGAGCUAAAUCCCCAGCCCCCCAGAGUGCCAUUCUUGAUCCCUUUUGUUGAUAAUAUUUGAUGAGAUUUGCCAUAAUAUUCUUUUCUCUCUUUGAAUUGCUUUAGAUAGGAAAGGCAGAAAAAUUAUUAAAUCUUGCAAGUACACAAUUUCUGCCAGGUGUGGUAGUACAUGCCUGUAAUCCCUGUAUUUGGGAGACUGAGCUAGGAGGAUCACUGUGAGUUGAGGCCAGCCUGAACUGCAUAGCAAAACCCUGUCUCAAAAAAAAUUUCCCCAGUGGCAUAAAAGUGAUUAUUAGGAGGCUCCUGUAUCAUUAACAAGUCACAUUGCAUUUGUCUUUCUGUACAAGGCACAUUUCCAUAUCCUUGUCUUUAUGUACUGGGGAAGGAGUUUAGUGUCAGUUCCAUUUCUCCUUAGACCACUUUUUUUAAGUGGGUACUAAAGUCAACCUGUAUUGGAUAAAAAUGUUAGUGCUAAAAGGGAGGUGGCCACAGCUGAGCUGCUAUGACCGGACUGCAGCAAGAGUAUCACUUACAUGAAAGCACUUGGGAACAGUUUUCCCUCUGAGCACUAGGCAAGCUGGGAGCUAUUUUUCUGUGCUUUUUACUGUAUAGUAAGACAGACAGUCCCAUGCCUUAGUUUUUUCAGUAUUGAUUGGGAAUACUAUACUUACCAUCUGUUCUAAGAUACAGAUCAAAUGAAUAUAAAAUAGGACUUAUAGAGCCACAGGAAUGAGUACCUUUUAAAUGGUAGAUAUAAAAUAAAUAUAAUUGAUCAAAUAAGAGAGAACUGGUGAAAUGUCUGUUAUUUCUCAGCGGUUUGUGUGUGUGUGUGUGUGUAUGUGUGUGUGUUUCGUUUUUAUGGGUACCAGGGAUCGAACGCACGACUGCCUGCUUACAAGGCAGGCGCUUAUGCCGCUGAGCUAAAUCCCCAGCCCCUAAAUGUCUGUUAUUUCUCUACCAUUAAAAGUUUUAAAAGUAUGUUUAUGCCCUAGGAGAUUUGAGUUUCACGUUGUAAGUGUUGUAAUAGAAUAUCUUUCCUAUCAAGGUAAUAUUAUCCAUUGUCCCUGUGGAAGCUCAGAUUCCUCAAGUCAGAAAAAGAAUGACUUUCACGGAGUGUAUUUUACAUGUAUUGAUUUACAGAUCUAUGGGACACAUUAGUAGUUAUGUGAUUUCUUUUUAAACCAGUUUUCAAUUUCUUAGCCAAGCCACAGAGUUGCUGCUAUUAUUGUCAGUGCUUGCAGGAGGCUGAGCAAGUGAGAAUGUUUGAGCUGUGUCUUUUCACUCCCUGUCCUUACAAGCCUGUCCUGCUUAGGUCUGGACUUGAAGGUGUUGGUGUAAUCUCAGGCAGGCCCACUGGGUCCUAUGCCAGGCUGCAUCUGCAUAUACAUAUUCUGGAAGUACUUUGGGAAACUAGGGUAGCUGUGGGGUGAUUUGCAAGUGUCAGUCUUUUCCCAGUUGAGAAAAGACAAUUUAAACUCUUUUAGAGGACGCCUCUGAGCAUGGUGGUUGACUUCCAAAUUGACAAGCACUUGACAGAAUCCUUCCUUCUCCAGGCCUUCACCCGAGAGUAGACAGCACAGUGUGAAGGUUAUAGAGAAUUCUCAUGUGUGUGCACCAGUGCCUCCUCUCUUCUAGAUGCUCAUAGGGCAUUUGCUGGCAGAUUGACUAGAACAUCAGAGAAUGACAUAGUCCCAGGGAAUCCCCAAUGGGCCAACCUGUAAUGGCCCCUUUACCUUGGAAGAUAAAUAAAUGAGGAUGCAUUGUAGCUUAUCUUAUAUAACUUCUGGAAAAUAGUUCCCUAAGACAUUCCAUUGGGCAUUCAAUUAUACCUUAAGACUCUGAGCUGCUUUUUAAAAAGAUGUGCUGUCUAGUACAAUAGCCAGUUGUUAAUUUCAGUCCAGCUGCUCACACUCACUUUCUAGCUGGGCUCUGUAGGGUGUGCAUGUAAUCUUAAAUAGGUGCGAGGUUGAGUGUGAUUUCUAGUGAUCCAAUACAGAUUCAAGAUAUAUAUUUCAUUUAAUUAAGUAGAAGACUUUUGUCCUCUUCCAAAUUAUUUUAAAAUGUCCCUUUUCUUUCCCAUAAGUUUUCAUUUUGUUAAUUUUUUUCCUUAGACAUUGUUAUCUUCUGUUUUACUGUACUUCAUGACUGUUUGCUUUGUGAUGCCUCCCUGCCAUUUAUAACCCCACAGUUUUAGGUCUUGUAUCCGAUGAAAACAGACUAGAUGCAUUGACUCCAAAAUGUUUUUAGAUGUGUGUGAUUUUAAUUUUUGUCAUUAUUAUUAUUUUGGUGAUUUCUAAAAUUUCUACAGUAAACACGUAUUAUGGGAAGGGUAGUAAGUAAACAUUCAAAAAAUAUAUUUCAUUUUUGUGAAUACUGCAUACUAAACACUACCAAAUCGAAUACUUUAGAGGGAUGAACUUUAUCAAUUUUAUUACAUUAAAGUUGUAAGAAAAUAUUUUAUUAUAUAUAUAUUUUAAAAGAUCAUAUAUUGAAUGAGCAUUAAGUGAGAAAAGAAAUAGAGUACUGAAAUUUCACCCCACUCAUUAUGUUCCUUUCUUGGUUCUGGAGUUGCUCUUCAUUUUUAUUGAUAGCAAAAGUGACAACUGGUAAUGACCAUUAUUACCUUCCUUGCAAUUAGAUAGAUGAGCCACAGGUGAUAUAUUAUUGUUGAUGUGACAGUCUGAUGUAUUUCAUCUUUGUGCAGAUAUUUUUAGAUUAAGUUUUAAAGAUGCACCAGAAGUUAGAAUAUUUGAGCUUAGCUCUGGCUUCAUCAGUUUUUCUGAACCUUGAACAUUGUACUUCUUUUUGUUUUUGUGGGAAAUGAGACUUAGGAGCUCGAAGGUAAGCCUCGGUUUUACUUGUCCUUUCAGAACUUUCAGUACUUUUAGUUCUGUAAACAUAGAACCACACCAGGUAACAACCACAAGUUAUUUUGGCCAAAAUAUUUUUUAUAUUAUGUGCAUUUCAGGAACUGUACUGUAGGUAAUUUACUCUGUGGUUUUUAGUGGGCCUGAUACAGAUUUGAAAGACAUGAAAGGGAUGACUUAAACAAAUUUAAAACUUGUUUUCUGCUAUGCUGUGUCUUCCUUUCUUUGUAGAUUGUACAGUGUCUCCAUGGCUGUCCCUCCUCAGAACCAUACUGUGAGCAGGACUUCCUGCUGGUGGCAUCUCUGGUGACAUCAGCAUAUUAACCAUACCUGAGAAGUUUCAGAUUGGAUAUUGUGCUUAUAUAUGGGACUGUGCUUUUUCCUUUGUAUUACUGUAUUUUCUUUCUUUUUUUUUUUUUUUUUUUUUUGGUCUUUUUCGUUUUUAUCGGUACCAGGGAUCGAACUCAUGACUGCCUGCUUGGAAGGCAGGCGCUUAUGCCGCUGAGCUAAAUCCCCAGCCCCCUUGUUUCUCUUUUUGAAGAUGAGACACUUUCAUUCUUUGCAGCAGUUUUUUUCUCAGAAUAGUUUAGAAGAUACAAAAGGCUUAGGAUAUCACUUGUCACCUAUUUGAUCCCUCCUUACUAACCUUUUGUUCAAAAACACCAAAUAGCUGCAUGGUCUAGGAAGCAGCUUUUCCUGCUCAUUUCUGUUUUAUGACACUGCACAAACACAUGGCAUUGUGCUAAUUCCUCUCAUCCUCUGUUACACCAGUCUCUCCCAGAAGCUAACUACUGGUAGUUGAGAGCAAUACUUUUUGGAUUGUUUUUGUUUUUGUGGCAUGCAAAAUUAAACCUAGAGUCUCACACAUACUCAAAUAAUAUACUAAAAGUGAAAAUUAGCCAGGCUUGGUAGUGCAUGCCUGUAAUCCCAGAACUUGAGAGACUGAGGCAGGAGGAUUGCUGAGAGUUUGAUGCCAGCCUGGGCUUUAUAUAGUAGGCUCAAAGCUACCCUGAACUACAUAGUGAGACCUUAUCUCAAAAAAAAAAAAAAAAAAAUUAGAUCCUGUCAUGCCCUCUCCACAGUCUUCCUUCCAUGUACUCAUUCAGCAAGACCAGCUGGUGUGUGCUGCAAACAGAAUCCUGUACAUUCAUGAGAGAAGGCAUUAUCAACCAGGCAGGAGGAUCACAAGUUCAAGUCUUAUCUGAAUAACAGUGAGACCCUCUUUCAAAAUUAAAAACAAGAAAAGUUGAAAAGGCCAUGAUUGUAGUUCAGUGGUAGAGCACUCCUGGCUUCAGUCUCUCAUACUACAAGAGAAAAAAGACUAUGAAAUAUUUUGUUGUACUUAGAAUAAAAUCCCUUGAUAUGGUGGAAGACAUACUUGGUUUCUGGCUGCUGCUUGUGACUCAGGCCUCAUCUGCUAUUCUGCCCAUUGCUCAUGUGGCUCUGGGUAAGGUAGCCUGGCAUGGUUACCCUGCCUCAGAGCUUCAUCCCCUGCUGUUCUGUUUACCUGAGAUGCCCAUCCCCAGAUCAUGCUGUGCCCGGCUCCUGGGUAUCAUUCAGAUUUCAGUUGCCCUUCACCUUAGAAGGCUGUGCUCACCUGUCUAGUCCAUGCUGGAGUUUAUUUUAUUUUAUUUAUUUUUGUCUUUUUGAGACGGUGUUUCACUAUGCAGUUCAGGCUAGCCUUGCACUCUUUUAUGUAGCCCGGGCCAGUCUCAAACUCACAGUGAUCCUCCUGUCUCAGCCCUUCCACCUCAACAUUUUAAGUGCUGGAAUUACAGACAUGUGCCACCACACCCAGCCUGUGCUGGAGUUAUAAAGCUUCUUUGCAAAUACUUAUUGUCUGAAAUAAUCUUCUUCAUUGAUUUAGUUACUAUAUAGAUGCACAAUAAAUACAUUUGCCAAAUUAAUUACACUAAUUUUCCCUCUUUUAUUUGUAAUGUUUAUUGAAUGAAUAUUACUCACAAUUCAUCCAUUCACUGAAUGUUUACUGAGUAUUUCUGUGUGCCAUACGCUGUUCUAAGUGUUGGAGAAGUGGCAACAAAAGGUUGACAGAAUUCAUGCUCUCUUAGAGUGUGUGUUUCAGUUCAAGGCGACACAUAUAAUGAACCAUCAGGUAAUCAGAUCUGUAAGAAAUGGUCAGAUAAUUGAAUUGUGUCACCAUGAAAUAGAACAAUAAUUGACAGACCUUGGGCUGGGGAUUUAGCUCAGCAGCAUAAGCACCUCCCUGGCAAGUGCAAGAUCCUGAGUUCGAUCCCGUCUCCCUUACCCCCAAAAUAAUAAUUGACAGAGCUUGGGGAAGGGCUCUCCUGGAUGGGGUGGCCAGGAAGACCUCUGGUGUGGUGCUGUCUGAACUGCUGGAGUGAAGUAAAUCUGAUAAAUUGAGCUCUUUCUGUGUGUCACAGUAAUGACUAGAGACAGACACUGGGAUUCUUUUUCUCAGCAGGAGAAAUUGAGUCCCUGUGAGGGGAAGGCAUAUUUGUAAGGUUACCCAGUUUAGAGGUAGGGUAGGUGGACUGGGCUUUGUCUCUUGACUAUGAUUGUCUGACAUCAGAGCUAUUUCUCAUUUAAACUUGGGUCCUUGAGCCCCAUCUCACUCUCAUAGUUGACAGAUAACUGUAGAUUGUCUUUUAUGUUGCUGGCUGAAGUUACAGAAUGCUGCUUCAUUAGCAAUACAGGCAGUAAGAGGCCAUGUAACAUAGUGGUUGGGAACAUGGAUUUUGCAAUCAGUGAAUCUGGAUUUGAAUUCUGAGUGACAUUGGGCAAGUUACUUAACUUCUCUAAUGCUUCAGUGUUCUCAUCUGUAAAAUGGGCAUAAAAUGCAAUUAAAUACAUGGUAAUUGCAUGUGUGGCACAUAGAAAUACUUAAUAGAUAGUAACUAGCAUUGUUGUUGUUGCUUUUUUGUCAAUCCAGUUCUGUAUCCUCUCCAAAAAGAACCAAAACAAACUUGCUUUCCUUCUGGAAUCAGGGUGAGAGUCUAAUUUCCUCAGUGGAGCCAUCACAAGGUUUUGGGUUUACCUGAGGUACAGGUCUUGCCAAAUCCCAGGCUUAUUAGACUAGAAAGCCAAAGCAGGGUUUUAGUCUGAAGCGGGCCUUGGGUCAGGAUCCUGUUUCGACAUUCUGCCCACUUAUAUGAACGGAAGAGAUGGUGUAGAUUCCGCCUGUAAACCGCAACUUUGUUUUGAGCCAGCUUGACUUGAUAGCUUCCUUAUUCUACCUGCUGACUUUUUUAGCUCUGGUUUGGCAGCCAGAAGAACAACUAAACCGGUUUAUAGCGCUUCAUUUACUGCCAGUGAAAGCUCAGCAAUUCCUGGGAAAGUGAGCAAUUUAAGAGGACUUGAUAUUUGUCUCUUAAGUUUUCCUUUUAAUGUUUCAAAAAUAUAUAUAUGUAUAUAUAUGUGAACCUUAUUCUUUUACAGGAGGGACUUUCAGGGCUGUCCUGAAAUAUUUGGGUCUAUGUAUGUAUGUUAAUUUCCCCUUUAAUAGGAGCAAGACUUUACUUUUGUAUUUUGUUUAGAAAUCUACAAGUAUAUUUGCUCGUUGCUGGUUCUUUCUUUCUUUCCUUCUUUCUUUCUUUUCUUAUGGUUAUUUAUUUUGGAAACAGGCUCACUAUGCAUUUCAGGCUAUCUUCAAACUCAUUAUGUAGUCCAGGCUGGCCUUAAACAUGCAGUGAUCUUCCUGUCUCAGCCUCCCGAGUACUGGGACUACAGAUAUGUACCACCACAGCCAGCCUGCUGCUUCUUUCUUGAGAAUAUAUAAAACAUAGACUAACCUUUUCUUGAGUCUGGAUCAUCAUUCGAACAUGAUCCUUCUGUAGACAUCAUUGUGUAAUGAAUGUUAACUAUUACAAAAUUUGUGUAUCUGCUUUUUUUUUUAAGUUUUGUUUUUAUUUUUCCUUAUGCUGUCAGUGUGCCCUCUUUGCCCUUUGUUGCUUCUAAAAACCAUAGGCUGAAGAAUCAAAUAAUUGGAAAUGUUAGGAACGAGAGCUGAAGUUGAGUGGGAGGGCACUUAUUUAGUGUGUGCACACAAGUGCCUGGGUUCACUUCUGAUCAGCUCCAGCUCCAUGUGAAUGGCCUCUGAAUACAAGGCAAAGGUAAUUGGUAUUAUUAACUCUGAGAAUAUGAGGGUAUGCAUGUUUUAUGGGUAAGUAAUAAUUUUGGCUACCUCCUGGUCUGGGUUUUGCUCCAGAGAAGUAGAAUAUUUUUUUAUGGUCAAUGUUUUUUUUUUUUUUUUGUCUUUUUGAGACAGGGUCUCUAUGCAGUUCAGGCUGGCCUUGAGCUCACUUUGUAGCCCAGACUGGUCUCGAACUUGCAACGAUCCUCCCACCUCAGCCUCCCGAGUGCUGGGAUUAUAGGCGUGAGCCACCAUGCCCGGCCUUAUGGUCAAUGUUUAUAGUCUUCUGAAAUCUUAUAACAUUAAAAAUCCUAAUGAAGCCAGGUAUAGUAGUGAUGUUGGCCUGUGAAUCCUAGCAGUCCGGGAGGCUGAGGCAGACUGAGGCAGGAGAAUUGCAAGUUCAGCCUGGACUACUUAGUGAUUUAAAGUCUUAUUUCAAAAUGUGUGUGAGAGCGAGGAUAUUGGGAAGGUAAAUUAGUGUGAAGGGCCUGGGUUCAGUCCCCAGUAUUGCAGAACGAGAGAUAGCAAAACCAAAAAGGUCAGCUUUUACAUUGGGAUUGGAGUGCUGUGGUAAAUAACGGACUAUAUGCUUGGUUAAAUUGGUCUUUUUGAUGGUUUUUUGGUAUUGGGAAUCGAACUCAGGACCUUACGCUUGCCAGGCAAGUGCUUAUGCCACUGAGCUAUAUCCCUGGCUUUUUUUCUUUUCUUUUCUUUUCUUUUUUUGUUUUUGGUACCGGGGAUCAAACUCAUGAUCUCACACUUACCAGACAAGCGCUUGACCUGCUGAGCUAAAUCCAUUGUCCCUAAAUUGGUUUUGAUUACCACUGAACAAGUUAUUUUUUCCCUAAUAUUUUAAAGUGAGGAUACUUCCCUCUUCUGCCCCCAUCACUGAUUUUUCCCCCCUUUUUUGUUUCAUGAAAAGAUAAAAUUGUGUAACAGAAUAAUGAGAAUAAUAAUUGCUAAUAUACUGUGCAUCGUUAUCUUCUAAGUAGUAAUUUAGAGUACAAAUAUAAAUGAGAAAUUCUUAAACAGGAUAACAAAUUUUUCUUUAAUUUUCUUUUCAGUGAACUAAGAUAAACUAUAAUUGAAACAAAUUAACAUUGAAAUAUUUUUAAAAUAUUGGAAUAUGUAAGUUAAAGAAGUAUAUGAACUUCUCCCCCCUUAUGUAUCUUUUAUUUUGCUCUUUACUAAUUAUAUAGUGUUUCUCAUGUAAGAGAAACCAUGAGAUAUUUGAACUUUUAGUCUGACUUAUUUCACUUAAUAUUUUGUUCUUAAACUGCAUCGAUUUACUUAUGUUUAUCUUUCUCUCUGGCAGUGUAGUGCUCUGUUGUAUAUAAAUACCACAUUUUUCUUUUCCAUUUAUCUUUUGAUGGAUAGAUACGCUAUUUCUAAGAUCUAGCUAUUAUAAACUGUGCUGCUGUAAACAUGGGUAUUCACAGAUCCCUGUAAUGGAUGAUUUUAACUGUUUUUGGGAAGAUACCUAGGAGGGGGAUAGCAGGGUCAAAUACAACUUCUGUUUUUAGUUUUUUGAGGAAUCUCCACACUGGUCCCUAUAGUGCUUUUACUAGUUUCCAUUCCCACCAACAAUGCCAUGAAGUUCCUUUCCCCCCAUUCUUGCCAGCAUUUGUUAUUGGAUUUUUUGAUGAUAGCCAUCAUUUUUGGGUAAGAGGGUAUCUCAGUGUAGCUUUAAUUUGAAUUUCUCUGACGGCCAGUGAUAAUCAGCAUUUUAUAUAUUUGUUGGCCAUUUGUACUUCUUUUUUUUUUUUUGUCUUUUUCGUUUUUAUCGGUACCAGGAAUCGAACUCACGACUGCCUGCUUGCAAGGCAGGUGCUUAUGCCACUGAGCUAAAUCCCCAGCCCCGCCAUUUGUACUUCUGAAAAGUGUCUCUUCAUUUUGAUUGCCCUUGUUUUGAUUGGGUCUUUUAUUUUGGAGAGGGCUCUGAUUUUUGUGUGUGUGUUUGUAUACUGUAUUUUUGAUGUUAGUCCUCUGUCCUUGCAAUAGCUGGCAAAAAAUUUUUUUUCCCAUUUAGUAGAUGUCUCUUCACUCUUCUGGUUGUUUCCUUUGCGCUGCAGCUUUUUAAUUGGGUAUGAUACUGUUUGUUGAUGCUUGGUAUUGCUGGGUAUGGUGACGCACGCCUGUAAUCCCAGCACUUGGGAGGCUGAGGCAAGAGGGUUAUUACAAGUUCGACACCAGCCUGGGUUACAAAGUGAGCUCAACACCAGCUUGAACUGUAUAGCAAGACCCUGUCUCAAACAAACAAUAACCUCCCACCAAAAAAAAGAUUGAUUCUUGGUAUUAUUUCUUGUGGCAUGGGACUGUUCAGAAAAUCCUUCCAUACGCCUGUGUCUGAAGAGUUUACCUAUUUUAUCUUCCAGCAGUUUGUUUCUGUUUUAACAUUUAGAUCUUUGACCCAUUUUGGUUUUAGUUUAGUAGCGGGUAAGAUGAAUGGAUCUAAACUCAGUCUUCUGAAUGUGGAUAUCUAAUUUUCUCAAUAUCAUUUAUUAAGAGGCUAUCUUUCAUCCCAGGUAUUUGUUUGGCUCUUCUGUGAAGGAUCAAAUAACCAUAUGUGCCUGAGGUGAUUUCCAUUUCUUCUGUCUCAUUGAUCCACAUAGCCUGUUUUUGUGCCAGUACCAUGCUGUUUUAAGAAUCACUGAUUUGUAAUGAAAAAAAUACAUAUGUAAAAUGUUUGGACAUUGAUACCCAGAGAAAUUAUUGCCUUCACAUCUUUCAGUAACAUCGGUGAAACUACGAAUAUGAAGUAACCCAGUUCAAUACCAUGGCACAUAAAAAGCCUGAUUUGAAAGUUUGGGAGGAGAUCAAAAGUGAAUCAUCAGACUACUCGUGCAUGGAUGAUGAAUAUGAUCCACUGUGAUAAAAUGCAUGCUUUUAUAGCAGAAGAGUGGUGUGGUGGAUGAUGAUGAUGAUGAUGAUGAUGAUGAUGAUGAUGAUGAUGACGAUGACGACAACUUUAAUGUUGGCCAUCUGAGGCAAAAGUCCUAUGACAGUGAAGUGGAGCAAGAAUCAACUGAAACAGGUACACGAAGUGCAGACCUCUUUUAUUCAGGUGGCGGAGAAAGCAGCAAUGUGACUAUAUAUUUGGUUAGUCAGUGUUGCAAAAUGGCCAUGCAGUGUGACCAAAUGCAAUAACCCAGUGUUAGAAGUAGAUUGGAAAAUAGAGAAGGUCUUGGCAGGGAUAAAGUAUUUUGGAAAGAUUGCCAGCACUGCCAUUCAGUGUUGGAAAUUGUUACAGAGGAAAUAUUCCAAGGUGCUAUGAAAUGCAUAAAGGCUGAAAUGCAAGUAAAACAUUUUGUAUGCACCAGUAGCUAUAUUUAAAAAUGCUUUUAUUAUGAUACCUCACUAGCUGAACUGAGAGCAUUCACAGAUCUGUUGUAAUUAGCACAGAUUUCUUACAGUCAUCACAGGAAUGUAAAAGACUUACAGACAAGCAAUGGGUCAAGGGCCGGGGAUUUAGCUCAGCAGCAUAAGUGCCUGCCUGGCAAGCAUGAGGGCGUCAGUUUGAUUCCUGGUAUCAAAAAAAAAAAAAAAAAAAAAAAAAAAACAAUGGGUCAAAAUAUGGCAUCAAAAUUUAUGCCUUUGUAGAUGUGAAGAGUUAUUAUGCUUUCAAUUUAGACAUUUAUCUUGGAACUCAGCCACCAGGUCCUUCUUCAUAUAGUAAUAAACUGAUAUUGUGAACAGACUUGUUCCUCGUAUCUCUCAAACUAUUUGGAAUGUGACAUUUGACAGUUGGCUUACUAGUUCCCAGUGGAUGUUACAUUUGCUGACAGAGCACAAGUUGACCAGCACAAGAACAAAGCAGAAAUUCCAAAUGAAAUGUUGCAAUUUCAAAACAGAAUCAUAUUUUGGAACUGGGGAUUUAGCUCAGUGGCAUAAGCGCCUGCCUGGCAAGCGUGAGGUCAUGAGUUCGAUCCCUGGUACCACCAAAAAAACAGAAUCACAUUCGAAUUUCAGAAAGAUGUAACAUUGGCCUCACAUAUGACAAAGAAAAGCAAACUGGAACUGAUAAUGUCAACAUAUCACCAUGACGGGAAUAUUCAUAAGGAAACUUUGACAAAACAGAAGGCUGAGAUGGAAACUUUCAACAACAAAACCAAAUGUGGAGUAGAUGUUGAUAAGUUAUGCAACAACUAUGAUGUUACUUGAAACACAAAGCAUUAGCCAAUGGUUGUGUUUUUCUCAGUCCUAAACAUGUGUGACAUAAAUAAUUUGAUAGUUUACAAAGAAAAUAACACAUGCAAAAUGCCAUGUAGAAAUUUCUUAGAGGAUUGGGCCUGGAGCUCAUAAGAGAUCAUUUACAGCAGUUGAGAAACAAAAUGUUUCUGCCCAGAGAACUACACAAAAAAAUUGUGGAGCACACUGGUGAGCUGACAGGUGAACAAGCAGACACAGCAUCUCCAUCUACUACAACAGCAGGAAAGCAAUAAAGAUCCCAGCUGUGCCCUAUAAGUACUGGGAAACAUAACACAUACCGGUGUGAUACUUCUGUACAGAACUUACAUUUGUCGUGUUGAAGACUUACUUUGGGUGUGACAGUUGAAACAAAGCUUAUUUCUGUGGUAGACUUUAGUUUGUGUUUACACUGUAGCUCACUGUAGUUUUUAUUUUUGAUGUUAUCUUCUAGGUUUUGUAAGCAGGUAACAGCUAAUGUGAAAAUGUUGAUGUCUAUUCAAAGUGCUCAUUACAUAUUUAAUAAUUGUAUUGUAUUGAAAUCUUAUUUCCCUACUAAGUGCUUGUUGUACAGUAUAGUAGGAAGCUCCUAAUGAAACAGGAAGAGAGGUGACAAGACCGCCACAUAGGAAAGGAAAGCUCAGCACACGUGCUGGCCGUGUAAGCAAGACAUGUGCAUGGAACAUGCAGUUGUUAUGUGUGAAGACUGCCUGUGGUGUGACAGUUGAAGCAAAGCUUGUUUUUAUAGUAGAGUUCUAUUGCUGUUUUCAUUGUAGUUCAUAUAGGAAUUUAUUUCUGAUGUUAUCUUUUAGGUUUUGUAAGGAUGUACACAGCUGAUAUGAAAUGUUGAUGUCUAUUCUAAAAGCACAAUACAGGAGCCGAGAGUAUAACUCAGCAGCUUAAGCACCUGCUUGGCAAACACAGGGUGUUGAGUUCAAUUCCUGGUACCAAAAAAUAAAUAAAUAGGGCCGGGGAUUAGCACAAGGUUGUAAGUUUGUCCCCGGUACAAAUAAAUAAAUAAUAGCACAAUACAUAGUAAGAAUUUAAUUAUUUAUUAAUAUUUUAUAUUCCUGUUAGCUUCAAGUUGUAUAAUAUAAUAAGAAUCUCCUGAUAAAAUAGCAAGACCACUAUGAUGUCAAGUAUAUCCUACAAAAAGGCCAGGAAAACAGAAGAUGUGCAGUCAGUGUAAAUAUAUGAACAUGCUGUUGUCAUUGUGCAGACUGUGAUAAUUGCAGUAAAGAUUUUUUUUCUUCAUAGCAUGCUGUUGAUAUUUUCAUUGUAGUUUAUAGUGGUAUUUUAUCUUUGAUGUUCUUUUUUAGACUGUACACCAAAAACCAGUUGAUGUUGAAGAUUUUUAUGCUUAUUUUUAAUAAUAAAUAUUAAAAACUCAAUACUUUUUGUGAUUGUUUUCCUGUUAAGAACUCAUUGUUAAAUAUAACAAAACUCAUAAAAUUAAAAUUAAUAAUUAUUAAUAGAAACACUCUAAAAAUUAGGGCCAGAGAUUUUGUGCAGAGGCACAAACACCUACCUGGUAAGUGCGAGGUCAUGAGUUCAAUCCCUGGUACAUCCCCUCCCCCAAGUAGGUCAGACCACUUGCCUAGCAUGCCUGAGGCCCUGGGUUUAAUUCUCAGAACCAUCAAAAAAAAAAAAAAAUCUAAAGAAUAAAGGUAAGACCCAUGAUGUUUAUGCCCAAAUUUAGUUUUACACUCCAAAGCCUGUAACCAUAACAUACUUGAAUCUAUCCCCAGGAUUUUUCAUAUAUUUUGCUGUCAAGGAAACCAUUACGCAUCUUUGUGGGGGUUUUUUUUUUUCAUUUGUUUGCUUUUUUGAGACAGGGUCUUACUUUGUAGUGCAGGUUGGCCUUGAACUCACUGUGUACCCCAAGCUGGUCUUGAACUUGCAGUGAUCCUCAUCCCUUAGCUUCCCAAGCUGGGAUUACAGGUGUGCAUCACCGUGCCUGGCCCAUUUUAUAACUUUGAUUUUGAAAGUUUUGACCUAAAUGUAAAACUGUUCAGUGUACUGUCUAGUCUGUCAAGGUGACCUGUGUCGUCUUCUAGCCUUCUCAUUUGAGCUAUCAUAGGUUAUUGGCGUCCAUUAAGACCUUAUCUAUGCACUGAUGAAGAGUGACCAAACAUUGGCCAUUAUGGGACUCUUCUUUGGGCUCCAGUAGGGAGCCAUCGCUCCAUCUGUCCUGUUUUAGAAAUGUCGCAUUCACAUUAAUGAGAAAGGAAUAACCUGAAAAUCUUACUGCAGUGCAGGAUUUGAUUCAGUAGGACUGGUGUUGGACAAGAUUCUGUAUUUCUAAUGAGUCCCUAGGCCAUGCUGAUUCCGCCAGGCCAUGGACCACCCUAAAUCUUUCUGGACUAAGACCAGGGCAAGUCCAGCAGAAGCUCUGGAUACAGCUUACAAGAAGGCACUGACUCUUGAGUUUGUGCACAGACCAGCUCACCUCAUUCUAAUCCCAGCCCUGUUACUGUGCCUUAUAGCAGUAAUCAGGAAGGGCUGUGGUUGUAGCUCAGUGGUAGAGCUCCCAUACCUUUGAUCCCCAGUCCCAUAAAAAAGGAAAAGAGAACUUUUUCCUAAAGAUUGAGAGUUUUGAUAAGGAGGGUUUGCAGAAGUUCUUGGGUGCACAUCAGCACAGAGGGAAGGAGCCAGCCUACUGACCAGAGGGUUCCUAGGCUGGGGAGCUGCCAUGCUCUGCAGCUACUGUACAUGGCUGAAUAGACAGUAAAUCUCCAUGGCCCAAAUAAAGAUAUCAAGAUCCCCAGUGAUUAAUAUCUUCGUCUUAAUUCCCUGUCAACUCACUUCUCCGUUUUGUCCCCCCCCCCCAUAUCACUACAGUACUUAAUUAGUGUCUUGUGUAUCUUUUCAGUUUUGGGGAGGUUUUUUGUACUGAGCAUGGAACUCAUAACCUCGUGCUUGCCAGGCAAGCACAUAUGCCAUUGAGCUAAAUCCCCAGCCCUCUUUCCAGUUAUUUUUAUGCGUAUAUCAGAAAAUAUAAAGAUUGUAUAAUUAUCUCAAUGUCACUGUUUAAAAAUAAUGUUAACAAUCUAUGGAUGUUGUUCUGCACUUCAACUUUUUUUUAUUCAACAAUUAGUCUUCUACAUGUCCACGUAAAAAACUGAAUUUUCUUUCAGCAGCUUCAUAAUGUCUUAUUAAAUGAAUAUACUAUGAUUUAGCUACUUAUUUAUGAACUUUGGAUUGUUUCCAGAUUCUUACGUUAUAGUCCUACAAAGAGUAUAUUCACUUUUAUAUCUUAUGUAUGUUAUAUAUUUUAUUGUGUUUAUUCACAUUAUUCAAUAUUCAAUGCCAUAUUUUUAUGUAUUUAUAUUAACACUAAACAGACCACACACACACACACACACACACACACACAGGGUGAUCCCUCAUUAUCCCUGGAUGAUAAUAUUUCCAGGACCACACUCAGAUACCAAAUCCAUGCAUGUUCCAACACCUCAUAUGAAACAGCAUAAUAUUGGCGUAUAACCUGGCUGUAGAUGACUUAUGAUACCUAAUACCAUGUAAAUGCUAUGUAAAGAUUAAAUAUAGUAAACUGCUUUAUUUUUUGGAGAAUGACAAGGAAAAAGGAGCUAUACACGUUUAGUUACAGAAACCAUUUUAUUCCCAACUUUGUUUUAUUUAUAUCUAUGUUGGUGGUACUGAGGAUUGAACCGAGAUUCUUCCCACUGAGCUACAUCCCCGUGUCAUUGUUUUUCUUUUUCUUAAAUUUUAUUUUAAAGAGGGUAAAAUUAAACACAACAAAACAGAACAUAAGAAAACAAUGUAAGAGAUACAGAUUUCAAAACCAGACAACCAGAGAUCUUCACUAUCCAUCAUAAUAUCUCCUGUUUUCUUCCAGUUAGUUCUCUUUAUCUUCACAUAUAGUGAAUUCAUACAAAACAACAUAGUAUAAAACUGAUCGGAACAGAAUGAUGAAGGCAUUUAGGUCUUCAAGACCAGACAAUAAGGAAGUCAACAAUGGCUGUCAUAGUGUCUCUCAUUCUCUUCAAAAUAGCUGUCCAUACCUUCACGUAUGUUGAAAUUAAUCAAAACAAAACAGACUAAAAUUACUCUGAACAAAGAAUAAUAGUAUCACUGGAUUUCACAUCAUGAUGCUACGGAAUCAGCACUGGGUAGCUUAGUGUCUCUUUUUCUUCAAAGUAGUUGUUCAUUUCAUUGUGCAUUAUAUAAUCAGUUCUCAAAUUAUUUAGAAGUUCAGUGCAUGCAUGAGUCUCUACAUGUAUGUUUAUCUUUUCUAUAUUAGAGGGAAAAGCAAAACAAGGCAAAACAAAACAAUUCCUAGAAAAACACUAAACGGGGGGCUGGAGAUUUAGCUCAGCAGCAUAAGUGCCUGCCUUGCAAGCAGGCAGUCGUGAGUUCGAUCCCCGGUACCGAUAAAAAGGAAAAAGACAAAAAAAAAAAAAAGAAAGAAAGAAAAGAAAAACACUAAACGAAAAAGUCAUAAAAUCACAAUACAAGGUGAUCUACAAGAGUUACUAUGAUGCCUUUUGUUAUCUUCAAUAGAUUGUCUAUAUCAUCAGGCAUAGUAUAAUUGAACAUAUUAUAUAACAGUAUUAAUAAAAACAACAUUGGAGACAUUAUAAGAGUUGGAAAGCAGGUAAUAGUCAAGUCAGAGUGGGUAUCCUGGUGAAUCUUGUCUUCAGAGUAUUUACCUAUACUCUCAGACAAUACUAGCAAUCAUAACAGAUUCAAAUAAAAUCAUUCAAGACAAAACAGCGAUCUAAUAAACCAGAUUCAAAUAAGAUCAGUCAUAAUAAGAUAGUGUAAAUAAUACAGGGCUUCAGAUUAAGUUAAUAGGAAAUUCAGGAUGGUUAUCACAAUAAAACUAACUGUUUUUGGAACAGCUGUCUGUGCCCUCAAGUCUAGUACAAGUAGACAGACUGGAAAAGAAUAUAACCAAGGGGCUGGAGGUUUAGCUCAGCGGCAUAAGCACCUGCCUUGCAAGCAGGUGGUCGUGAGUUCGAUCCCCGGUACAGAUAAAAAUGAAAAAGACCAAAAAAAAAAAAAAAACAAAAAGAAUAUAACCAAACUAGGGGCUGGGGAUUUAGCUCAGCAGCAUAAGCGCCUGCUUUGCAAGAGGCAGUCGUGAGUUCGAUCCCUGGUACCAAUAAAAGAGUAUAACCAAACUAAACAGAGCGAUAACAACAAUGUGGAUUUUAAAUCCUGAUACACUAUUAACAGUGUCAUCUGCCUGCCUUUUUUAGACAAUUCUUCCCCUUUCACUUUCACAAGGUGCAUUGUAUAUUUUGGGUCCCACCAACUCUUUAGUUUUUAGGUUAGGGGUGCAACCCACCAUUUACCUAAGUGGUUCUAAACCUUUUUACCCCUGGGCUUGACAUUAAGUUGUAUUCCUUUACCUACAAAAGCCUCAAGGUUUUCCUUCAUUAUAGCUGAGUAGUUCUCCACUGCACAAAAGUGUCAUGUCUUUCCACCCUAUCUGCAGGUGCUGGAUGAGCUGCCCCUAUUUCUCUCUGGUUCCCUGUCACACAGAGCAUUAUUGUCUCAUAUUUGACUUUCAGUCCAUAAACCCUCUUUCAGGUUAAUUAUAUUUCCUAUAAAGAGCAUCUCAAUGGGCCCUAUCUCCUCAUCUACUCUACCUGUGUUUCUUUUUGUUAGUGCAUGAAGACAUGUAUGUUAGAGAUUAUAGCCAACCUUCUCUGCCUCAUUUCUGCUACGCUGUUUUUCUGCCAUUGGUUGUCUACUUUUCACCUUCAUUCCACUGUCUGCCCCAUUCAGAUCCUGAUGCUUUUUUUUUCCCUUUCUAGAAUGUCCUUCAGUAGUUUUUGUAGGGUUGAAUUGGUGGUUAUGAACUCCACUCAUUCCUCUUUGUCAUAGAAGCAUCUUGUUUCUGCAUUAAUUUUGAGAGAGAGUUUUUCAGGGUACAUCAAUCUAGGUUGGAGGUUAUUUUCUUUCAGGGCUUGGAAUACUUUGCUCCAAGCUCUUCUUGAUUUGAUGGUUUGUGUAGAGAAGUCUGUCAUGAUUUUGAUGGGUUUUCCUUUAUAGGGAUCCAUUUCUUUUCUCUGAUGGCUUUUAAUAUUCUUGUGAUGAAUUUCUGGGAUCUUGAUUAUUAUAUGUCUGGGUGUAGCUCUGUUUUGGUUGUAAGUGGCUGGAGUUCUGUAUGCCUCAUUCUGAAUAUCAUCUGCUUUUCCUAUGCUUGAGUACUUUUCCUUAAUUAUUUCUGUGAAUAGCCUUUCUGUUUCCUUUGUGUUUACCCCUGCUUCUUCACUCACAUUUUUUAUUCUUAAGUUAUAGAUCCUCUUGUCAUCCUCUAGCCUUUGUAUUGUUACUGCCUGUUUUCUUGUUAUUUUUAAGAGAUCUUUCCUUUCACAUUCACACAUUGCAAACCCAUCAAGUUUUGUUAAUCUUUCUCUAGUUUCUUUCAGGCAAUUUUGCCAGCUUUCAAUGGAGUUUUUAAUUUCCUGGUAAUCUUUUGUUGUUAUUGUUGUGGUUGUUGUUGUCUUUUUGAGACAGAGUCUCUAUGCAGUUCAGGCUGGCCUUGAGCUCACUUUGUAGCCUAGGCUGGUCUUGAACUCGCAACAAUCCUCCUGCCUCAGCCUCCCAAAUACUGGGAUUAUAGGCAUGAGCCACCACACCUGGCUUCCUGGUAAUCGCUUUGAAUCUGUUUCAUGUAUUCUAGGGUUUUUUUUUUUUAAUAUUCUUCAUCGAAGGUUUCUCUCCUUUUUUUGUGUUCCUCCAUCUUCCAUCUGUGUCUUUCUUAGAGUGCUUAGCAUUUCUUUUAUUAAUUUUCUUAUAUCUUGCUUUAUUUCAAUUAAUAUUUCAGUUUUGAGUUUGUCUGUGAUGUCAUGAAGAUAUUUCUUUAUGUCAGCUGAUGCUGUGUCCAAUGUUGAAUGUUUGUUGCCCUCGAUCUCUUCUGUAUUUACCUUUCCUGGACCCAUCUUCCCUGGGUUGGCUGGAGGCUUUUUCUUGUUUCUUUGUCUUGUCAUGUUUCUUGUUUCUUCCAUACUUUGGCUAGGGGUUGUUGCUGUCUCCACUUUGCUGUUGGUCACUGAGGUGCAAGCAGGGGCAGUGUAGGGUGGCCCCUCCCCUCUGAGCCAGUCAACCAGUGGGGCCCUUCACCACAUUAGUAUAUGCCACAUGGACAGAACUGGUUAGGGACAACUUUGAGAACAAUUUGGUCCCUGGCUAUUGGAUCCCGGCCGGGGGCAUGACCCACCCCAAUCAGAUCCCACCAAUCUGCUCUGGGCAGGGAGCAGCCAACUGAAGUCACUGCCAUUCCUUAUUCAGGCCGGUCUUCCCAAUACCAAUAUGUCCUCUGGUCAGUCACCCCCCUCGCACAGGGUGGGGGGCAAAUUCCGAGCACUCACUGCAGGUUGGUGCAGGUCUCCACACCGCCUCUGUUCUCUGUUGGGCUCACCAACCCCGACUUCAGUGCAACUGCGGCACUCUGGCUCUGAUGAGAGUACUGCGACCGUGAGUCUGACCGGCUCCAAUGACAACACUGUGACUGCGUGUUGGGCUGGCUCCGGUGAGAGCGCAUCUGGCUCCAGACUCCUGUCCAUGUUUUUCUUUUCCUUUCCUUUCCCUUUCCCUUUCCCUUUCCUUUCCUCUCUCUCUCUCUCUUUCUUUCUCUCUCUCUUUCUUUCUUCCUUCCUUCCUUCCUUCCUUCCUUCCUUCCUUUCUUUUGUUCAUUCUUUCUUUCUUUUUUUUCCUUUUUCCUAGUUUCUUCCUGGGUCCUGAGAAUCCCUCUCCUUUUGUCUGGUCUUCUCUCUGCUGGUAACUUCUGGUGUCUGAGCUGUUUCUCUCAGAGAGGUUCUGUACCUUGUUACUUACUGAUCCACCAUCUUCCUCCGACCCUUUUCUUUCUUUCUUUCUUUCUUUUUUUUUUUUUUGUUAUUUUUUUAGACAGGAUCUGGCUAAGUUUCCCAGGCUAGGUUCAAACUUGCAGUUCUCCUGCCUCAGCCUUCUACAGUGCAGGGAUUAUAGACACGUGCUACCACACUUAACUUUUCUGAAUAUUUCUGAUGAUGGUUGUUGGAAUCCAAGGAUGCAAAACCUGUGAAUAUGACGGUUAGCUGUGUGUGUGUGCACAAUAUUUUCCUAUUAUCUUGGAGUAAUGUGUUCCUUUGUUAAGAAUCGUCCUCUUAUUUUUUAAAAGGAAGGCAGUAAUUACUGUCUGUGUAAACCUGAUGCUUCCACUAAUUCAGAGUUGUUAGUUUAAAUCAAAGGGGAACAUGACUGUUGGGAAACAAAGUAGGGCCCAUCAGAUAGAUUGCCAUUUUACAGUGUGUCUCCUUGUGAGCAGCCCUAGGGGAUCGUGUCCCGGGCAUUUACAUUCUGUCCCCUUACAUGUUACCUACGUUCACUGGAGAAAACCUAAAUCCAUUAAUGUUUGUGUCUGGCAUGUCAUCAAUGAGAAAUGAAAUGAGUCACAAGCUCAAGUUUAGCCUGCAUCGACUCCAGCUAUCUAGCUUGAAUAGCACUUCCAUUAUUUACAGAUAGGUCAGAUUAAUCUAUCCAGAAGGGAUAGUUAAAGAGGCUAUUUUUCUCUGAUGCAGCGUUUUAAAGCUACAAUCAGGUAUUGCUAUUAAUGAAACCACCAAACAAAAAGAAUGAUUUCCCUCCCAAAGAGUAUUAUAGUGUUGUCAGGAGUCUUGCAAUUGGAUUACCUUCUUGUAAUCAAUCCCACCUUAUCAGUCAACGUUGCUUGUAAUGGACUGAUGCCUACAACAGACUGGGUUAUUUAAAACUUCUUUCAGUCUGGAAGAGACAUGUUCUUUGGCAUUUUCACCUUCCUAUGGUGGGAAGCAUCCGUAUCCAAUAGAGCACUACUGAAGCUAUGGUGGUGUUGGUCUUAUUUGUGCCAGGAAGUCUUGUGGAGUUAACACUGAGAGAGAAGAUGUGUGAUGUAUUUAGUUAGUUACUUUGCAGCCAGUGCCCUGAGCUUGCUUAACCAGGUUGGAUCUGUUUGUUUCUGAGUCCUUAGUUCAGUUCUUACUCUUCCGUUUUGCACGUGCGUAUCUUAAUCUUUUUUUUUCUUUCUUUCUUUUUUAUUGGUACCGGGGAUCGAACUCACGACUGCCUGCUUUCAAGGCAGGCGCUUAUGCCGCUGAGCUAAAUCCCCAGCCCCAACACGUGCGUAUCUUAAUGGAUCACCAAGGGAAGAAUUGGGUAGGGAAAUGCAGCUUGCCAUGAUUUUUGCUCUAACUUGAUGUAUAAUAUUUUGAGAAGCUACUGAAGACCUUUGUGAUCAGGAAAAAAAAAAAAAAAAAAAACAUUUUAGGAAGCCAGACACAGUGACCCCUGCUUCUGACCACUGCUACUCUGAGGCUGAGGCAAUAGGAUUACAAAUUCAAUCUCAACACUUAGCCAGACCCUGUCUCAAAAUUACAGUGCUGGAGAUUGGAGAUGUAUCUCAGUUGUAGACAUGUGCUAGGCCUUGGGAUUAAGCACUAAUAAUGAAAGAAAA
This is a long non-coding RNA of Cavia porcellus (domestic guinea pig), 24118 nucleotides long. RefSeq lists it as uncharacterized. The transcript is spliced from 2 exons. NCBI's taxonomy places the organism in Eukaryota, Metazoa, Chordata, Mammalia, Rodentia, Caviidae. The record is from RefSeq and is a predicted model, not a curated record.